This 279-nucleotide ribosomal RNA is filed under the name uncultured bacterium. RNAcentral's name for it is "partial 16S ribosomal RNA". It matches the Rfam family "Bacterial small subunit ribosomal RNA", at positions 506 to 784 of the family's 1533-position model. The record is from RNAcentral.
UGCCAGCAGCCGCGGUAACACGUAAGGGGCAAGCGCUGUCCGGAAUUACUGGGCGUAAAGCGCGCGUAGGCGGCUGAGUAAGUCAGAUGUGAAAGCCCCGGGCUCAACCUGGGAAUGGCAUUUGAGACUGCUCGGCUAGAGUCUGUCAGGGGGUGGCGGAAUUCCGGGUGUAGCGGUGAAAUGCGUAGAUAUCCGGAGGAACACCGGUGGCGAAGGCGGCCACCUGGGGCAAGACUGACGCUGAGGUGCGAAAGCGUGGGGAGCAAACAGGAUGAGAUA